This 449-nucleotide ribosomal RNA is filed under the name Propomacrus bimucronatus. Its description in RNAcentral is "partial 16S ribosomal RNA". It matches the Rfam family "Archaeal large subunit ribosomal RNA", at positions 1900 to 2597 of the family's 2987-position model. Lineage: Eukaryota; Metazoa; Arthropoda; Insecta; Coleoptera; Glaphyridae. The record is from RNAcentral.
CAAAAACAUGGCGUUUUGAUUAUAAUUUAAGGUCUGGCCUGCCCAAUGAGUAGUUAAAUGGCCGCGGUAUUUUGACCGUGCAAAGGUAGCAUAAUCAUUAGUUUUUUAAUUGAAAGCUGGAAUGAAUGGUCGGACGAGAAAAUAACUGUCUCAAUAUAAUUUUGUUAGAAUUUUAUUUUUAAGUUAAAAAGCUUAAAUGUAUUUAAAAGACGAGAAGACCCUAUAGAGUUUUAUAUAUGUAUAUUUAUUGGUUUUAUGGUAUUUUGAUGCUGACAUUUAGUAAUGUAUUUUGUUGGGGUGACAGAAAAAUUGGCUAAACUUUUUCUAAAAUUGAACAUUUAUUUAUGAUUGUUUGAUCCAUUAUUUAUGAUUAUAAGAUUAAAUUACCUUAGGGAUAACAGCGUAAUUUUUUUUGAGAGUUCUUAUCGAUAAAAGAGUUUGCGACCUCG